CCACCAUCACUUUACCCUUCACUGAUAGUCGCUUAUUCUUCCGUGUGUGUUUAGUUGGAGACCCUGGACAAUCUCACUCCAAAGCAGGUCGUUGGACUGUUGGUUGAAGAGCUACCUGGUCUCCCAGAGAAGGAAGUCGUCAUCAAUACAGUGUUUGAUCAUCUGCUUGUGUCUCCUGUGGAGCGAGGACUUCCUGAUGUUCUUCAAAACCUGCUCUCAAUCUCACAGACGACCAUUAUUCCGUGCAGCUCCUACAUACUGAUAUUCCAGAGGCUUUUUCAGGCGUUACCUUACCUGCCGACGGAGAUAGAGACUGUGGUCUUCCAAACAACUGGAGAACUCAAGCAGAAUGGAGCAAGAGACUGUUCACUUCCUGAACCGCCAACAGUACCUGAACCUCCAACA
Long non-coding RNA from Carassius carassius (crucian carp), 405 nucleotides. RefSeq lists it as uncharacterized. Lineage: Eukaryota; Metazoa; Chordata; Actinopteri; Cypriniformes; Cyprinidae. The transcript is spliced from 4 exons. The record is from RefSeq and is a predicted model, not a curated record.